This 2331-nucleotide ribosomal RNA is filed under the name Salmonella enterica. Its description in RNAcentral is "bacterial LSU rRNA". It matches the Rfam family "Bacterial large subunit ribosomal RNA", at positions 593 to 2823 of the family's 2925-position model. The record is from RNAcentral. Lineage: Bacteria; Pseudomonadati; Pseudomonadota; Gammaproteobacteria; Enterobacterales; Enterobacteriaceae.
GUGACUGCGUACCUUUUGUAUAAUGGGUCAGCGACUUAUAUUCUGUAGCAAGGUUAACCGUAUAGGGGAGCCGGAGGGAAACCGAGUCUUAAUUGGGCGUUAAGUUGCAGGGUAUAGACCCGAAACCCGGUGAUCUAGCCAUGGGCAGGUUGAAGGUUGGGUAACACUAACUGGAGGACCGAACCGACUAAUGUUGAAAAAUUAGCGGAUGACCUGUGGCUGGGGGUGAAAGGCCAAUCAAACCGGGAGAUAGCUGGUUCUCCCCGAAAGCUAUUUAGGUAGCGCCUCGUGAAUUCAUCUCCGGGGGUAGAGCACUGUUUCGGCUAGGGGGCCAUCCCGGCUUACCAACCCGAUGCAAACUGCGAAUACCGGAGAAUGUUAUCACGGGAGACACACGGCGGGUGCUAACGUCCGUCGUGAAGAGGGAAACAACCCAGACCGCCAGCUAAGGUCCCAAAGUCAUGGUUAAGUGGGAAACGAUGUGGGAAGGCCCAGACAGCCAGGAUGUUGGCUUAGAAGCAGCCAUCAUUUAAAGAAAGCGUAAUAGCUCACUGGUCGAGUCGGCCUGCGCGGAAGAUGUAACGGGGCUAAACCAUGCACCGAAGCUGCGGCAGCGAACGUAUCACCCAAGACAACUUUACGGAGUUGACGAUUGACGGAGCGAAGCGACGUCAAAGCGUUCAUUAAAGUCGAGUUGGCUUAGGGAUACGUUCGUUGGGUAGGGGAGCGUUCUGUAAGCCUGUGAAGGUGUGUCGUGAGGCAUGCUGGAGGUAUCAGAAGUGCGAAUGCUGACAUAAGUAACGAUAAAGCGGGUGAAAAGCCCGCUCGCCGGAAGACCAAGGGUUCCUGUCCAACGUUAAUCGGGGCAGGGUGAGUCGACCCCUAAGGCGAGGCCGAAAGGCGUAGUCGAUGGGAAACGGGUUAAUAUUCCCGUACUUGGUGUUACUGCGAAGGGGGGACGGAGAAGGCUAUGUUGGCCGGGCGACGGUUGUCCCGGUUUAAGCGUGUAGGUGUGUGUUCCAGGUAAAUCCGGUUCACUUUAACACUGAGGCGUGACGACGAGGCACUACGGUGCUGAAGCAACAAAUGCCCUGCUUCCAGGAAAAGCCUCUAAGCAUCAGGUAACAUCAAAUCGUACCCCAAACCGACACAGGUGGUCAGGUAGAGAAUACCAAGGCGCUUGAGAGAACUCGGGUGAAGGAACUAGGCAAAAUGGUGCCGUAACUUCGGGAGAAGGCACGCUGACACGUAGGUGAAGUGAUUUACUCAUGGAGCUGAAGUCAGUCGAAGAUACCAGCUGGCUGCAACUGUUUAUUAAAAACACAGCACUGUGCAAACACGAAAGUGGACGUAUACGGUGUGACGCCUGCCCGGUGCCGGAAGGUUAAUUGAUGGGGUCAGCGCAAGCGAAGCUCCUGAUCGAAGCCCCGGUAAACGGCGGCCGUAACUAUAACGGUCCUAAGGUAGCGAAAUUCCUUGUCGGGUAAGUUCCGACCUGCACGAAUGGCGUAAUGAUGGCCAGGCUGUCUCCACCCGAGACUCAGUGAAAUUGAACUCGCUGUGAAGAUGCAGUGUACCCGCGGCAAGACGGAAAGACCCCGUGAACCUUUACUAUAGCUUGACACUGAACAUUGAGCCUUGAUGUGUAGGAUAGGUGGGAGGCUUUGAAGUGUGGACGCCAGUCUGCAUGGAGCCGACCUUGAAAUACCACCCUUUAAUGUUUGAUGUUCUAACGUGGACCCGUAAUCCGGGUUGCGGACAGUGUCUGGUGGGUAGUUUGACUGGGGCGGUCUCCUCCUAAAGAGUAACGGAGGAGCACGAAGGUUGGCUAAUCCUGGUCGGACAUCAGGAGGUUAGUGCAAUGGCAUAAGCCAGCUUGACUGCGAGCGUGACGGCGCGAGCAGGUGCGAAAGCAGGUCAUAGUGAUCCGGUGGUUCUGAAUGGAAGGGCCAUCGCUCAACGGAUAAAAGGUACUCCGGGGAUAACAGGCUGAUACCGCCCAAGAGUUCAUAUCGACGGCGGUGUUUGGCACCUCGAUGUCGGCUCAUCACAUCCUGGGGCUGAAGUAGGUCCCAAGGGUAUGGCUGUUCGCCAUUUAAAGUGGUACGCGAGCUGGGUUUAGAACGUCGUGAGACAGUUCGGUCCCUAUCUGCCGUGGGCGCUGGAGAACUGAGGGGGGCUGCUCCUAGUACGAGAGGACCGGAGUGGACGCAUCACUGGUGUUCGGGUUGUCAUGCCAAUGGCACUGCCCGGUAGCUAAAUGCGGAAGAGAUAAGUGCUGAAAGCAUCUAAGCACGAAACUUGCCCCGAGAUGAGUUCUCCCUGAGACUU